Pararge aegeria (speckled wood butterfly) is the source of this 519-nucleotide long non-coding RNA. RefSeq lists it as uncharacterized. The transcript is spliced from 4 exons. The record is from RefSeq and is a predicted model, not a curated record. NCBI's taxonomy places the organism in Eukaryota, Metazoa, Arthropoda, Insecta, Lepidoptera, Nymphalidae.
UGGAAACAUACCUCUUGUUGUUUGUGUCUUAUAUUUUUACACAAGUAUAAUUACAUAUCUAAAAAUUAGAAUGGAUUUGAAACCUCUACUGUCGUGUCUGUUGGUGUUGUGCUUGGUUGUUGGUUUACACGCAAAAGCGGUUAUUUGCUUUUGGAGCACGUAUACAACACAGUUGGUUAUGAAAAUCUGGAGUAUCAACGUCUCCUCGUAAGAUAAGUCUGUCUAACCUCCAGGAAGUAGAAAUUUGGUUGGGUACACGAAAAGAUAAUAUCCAUAGCAACGCUUGAAGAAGUAUCCGAGGAAAGCCUUCUGCUCUUUUUCUAAAAUAAGUUGCGGCUUCUUUCAUAAUCUUGCAGUCUGUAAAAAGUAUUACAAUUGUCCUUCCAUGUAUCAAGUCCAAAGUAAUGUGUACAAUGAAUGUGGAACUUCGUACGUUUGCUGUUUAAAAGGAUUAACUGACUAACUGGUAUAAUUUAAACAGUGAAACAAUAAAAUUUAAACAAUAAAACAUUAUUUUAC